Molecule: long non-coding RNA, 299 nt
Organism: Ornithodoros turicata
Lineage: Eukaryota; Metazoa; Arthropoda; Arachnida; Ixodida; Argasidae
Exons: 3
Source: RefSeq, a predicted model, not a curated record
UUGUGGGCAGCCAUUAGAUGUCACCGGGAAGGAACUGUGGCUGCGAUCAGCGUACAGACACGAAUACAGAUUAAGAAAGCUCAUCAGAAACAUCUGGACUAGCUUGUCCUGUGGGGAGAGGGCUCACAUCUCCAUAUUUUUUCUCCUACCGUCAUCAUCAGCACCCGUUCUUUUUGUUUUCCCUGGAACCGGUAUCUGCGUCACGCGGUGCGUGAUACGUCUUGCAAUGCUGAAGGAUGCGUGCAGAGCUGCGAUGGAGCUGAAAACAGUGAAAACACUUCCGUUCCUCCAUAGCGAGA